RNAcentral lists this ribosomal RNA (410 nucleotides) under uncultured microorganism. RNAcentral describes it as "bacterial SSU rRNA". It matches the Rfam family "Bacterial small subunit ribosomal RNA", at positions 509 to 917 of the family's 1533-position model. The record is from RNAcentral.
CAGCCGCCGCGGUAAUACGUAGGUGGCAAGCGUUGUCCGGAAUUAUUGGGCGUAAAGCGCGCGCAGGCGGUUUCUUAAGUCUGAUGUGAAAGCCCCCGGCUUAACCGGGGAGGGUCAUUGGAAACUGGGAGACUUGAGUGCAGGAGAGGGAAGCGGAAUUCCAUGUGUAGCGGUGAAAUGCGUAGAGAUAUGGAGGAACACCAGUGGCGAAGGCGGCUUCCUGGCCUGUAACUGACGCUGAGGCGCGAAAGCGUGGGGAGCAAACAGGAUUAGAUACCCUGGUAGUCCACGCCGUAAACGAUGAGUGCUAAGUGUUAGAGGGGUUAAACCCUUUAGUGCUGUAGCUAACGCGUUAAGCACUCCGCCUGGGGAGUACGGCCGCAAGGCUGAAACUUAAAGGAAUUGGCGGG